RNAcentral lists this ribosomal RNA (915 nucleotides) under bacterium enrichment culture clone L35B_101. Its description in RNAcentral is "bacterial SSU rRNA". It matches the Rfam family "Bacterial small subunit ribosomal RNA", at positions 8 to 916 of the family's 1533-position model. The record is from RNAcentral.
AGAGUUUGAUCAUGGCUCAGAACGAACGCUGGCGGCGCGUUUUAAGCAUGCAAGUCGGACGGUAGGGAGCGAGAGCUUCCGAGAGUGGCGAACGGGUGAGUAACACGCGGAUAAUGUACCCUCCAGUUAGGGACAGCUCAUGGAAACAUGGGGUAAUACCUGAUACGAUCGGGCGAGCGAAAGGUGGUCUGAGGAAAGGCGCCAAGGCGUCGCUGGGGGAGCAGUUCGCGGCCCACUAGCUUGUUGGCAGGGUAAUGGCCUACCAAGGCGACGAUGGGUAGCCGGCCUGAGAGGGUGUACGGCCACAUUGGGACUGAGACACGGCCCAGACUCCUACGGGAGGCAGCAGCUAAGAAUCUUCCGCAAUGGACGAAAGUCUGACGGAGCGACGCCGCGUGAACGAUGAAGGCCGUGAGGUUGUAAAGUUCUUUUCCGGGGGGAGAAUAGAGGCGGCAGGGAAUGGUCGUCUGAUGACGGGAACCCGGGAAUAAGCCCCGGCUAACUACGUGCCAGCAGCCGCGGUAACACGUAGGGGGCGAGCGUUGUUCGGAAUUAUUGGGCGUAAAGGGUGCGCAGGCGGCGCUUCAAGUCUGGUGUGAAAGACCCCGGCUCAACCGGGGGGACGCGCUGGAAACUGGGGUGCUGGAGUACAGGAGGGGGAGUUGGAAUUCCAGGCGUAGGGGUGAAAUCUGUAGAUAUCUGGAAGAACACCGGUGGCGAAGGCGAACUCCUGGCCAUGUACUGACGCUGAGGCACGAAGGCGUGGGGAGCAAACAGGUUUAGAUACCCUGGUAGUCCACGCAGUAAACGAUGUACACUUGGUGGUGGGUGGCAGCACUCAGUACCGUAGCAAACGCAAUAAGUGUACCGCCUGGGGAGUAUGCUCGCAAGGGUGAAACUCAAAUGAAUUGACGG